This 217-nucleotide long non-coding RNA is filed under the name Lathyrus oleraceus (garden pea). Its description in RNAcentral is "Pisum sativum (pea) long non-coding RNA (PSAT_LNC018520)". The record is from RNAcentral. Lineage: Eukaryota; Viridiplantae; Streptophyta; Magnoliopsida; Fabales; Fabaceae.
UUUGGCAUUAUGUUUCCUUGUUGGUUUUUGUCAGGAGUCAGGUGUAAGUCCAUGUAUUGGCAUUCUGUUUCCUGUUGUGUGUUUCUUUUGACGUCUCAGCGUCUCUUUUCGGUGUUUUGUUUUGGUGUGCAUUAGCCGAGCUACGAGUGCUCUGAUUCUUACUCUGGAUAGAGAAGAUACGUAGGCAUAAGAUGCGAUGUCCUAGCGAGCAUGUUCC